Molecule: ribosomal RNA, 984 nt
Filed under: Phrynomantis microps
Lineage: Eukaryota; Metazoa; Chordata; Amphibia; Anura; Microhylidae
Description: partial 16S ribosomal RNA
Rfam family: Bacterial large subunit ribosomal RNA
Source: RNAcentral
UGCCCCCCCACAAGUUUUUAACAACAUACAGCUAUUCAGAAGAGGUAAGUCAAAUAAGGUACAGCCUAUUUGACACAGGAUACAACCUCCGGCAAAGGGUAAUGAAUAUAAUCCCAUGACCAAGUGGGCCUAAAAGCAGCCAUCUUUUAAAAAGCGUUAAAGCUUUGUCAUCCACAAAAACAAUCCCAAAACCACCUCAAAACCCCCCAUUACUACUGAAUGACCCCAUAACCAUAUGGGGGACCUCAUGCUAGAACUAGUAACAAGAAUUAGACCUUCUCUAAAAUGCACGUGUACGCCAAAAUGAACCACUCACCGGCAAUUACCGCUAAUGAAUACAUAGUAAUAACCCAGCAAGAAAACCUUACUUAAAAAAGCGUUAACCUAACACAAGAGCAUUUCCAGAAAGAUUAAAAGAGCGGGAAGGAACUCGGCAAAUAUUAGCCUCGCCUGUUUACCAAAAACAUCGCCUCCUGACCUAUCAUAGGAGGUCCAGCCUGCCCAGUGACAUAGUUAAACGGCCGCGGUACCCUAACCGUGCGAAGGUAGCGCAAUCACUUGUUCUUUAAAUGAGGACUAGUAUGAAUGGCAUCACGAAGGCUACACUGUCUCCCCCCUCCAAUCAGUGAAACUGAUCUCCCCGUGAAGAAGCGGGGAUAAAACCAUAAGACGAGAAGACCCCAUGGAGCUUAAAACUCAGUUUCACCUGCACACCAAUAUAUCACACCAACCCUGCAGACCUGACUACUAGUUUUCGGUUGGGGUGACCGCGGAGCAAAACAAAACCUCCACGACGAAAGGACAUCUCCCUAAUCCAAGAGCAACAACUCUAAGAAUCAAAAAAUUGACGUUGCUUGAUCCAAAUUUAUUUGAUCAACGAACCAAGUUACCCUGGGGAUAACAGCGCAAUCCAUUUCAAGAGCUCCUAUCGACAAAUGGGUUUACGACCUCGAUGUUGGAUCAGGGUAUCCCAGUGGUGCAGCC